RNAcentral lists this ribosomal RNA (505 nucleotides) under uncultured beta proteobacterium. RNAcentral describes it as "bacterial SSU rRNA". It matches the Rfam family "Bacterial small subunit ribosomal RNA", at positions 9 to 509 of the family's 1533-position model. The record is from RNAcentral. Lineage: Bacteria; Pseudomonadati; Pseudomonadota; Betaproteobacteria.
GAGUUUGAUCUUGGCUCAGAUUGAACGCUGGCGGCAUGCCUUACACAUGCAAGUCGAACGGCAGCACGGGAGCAAUCCUGGUGGCGAGUGGCGAACGGGUGAGUAAUACAUCGGAACGUGCCCAAUCGUGGGGGAUAACGCAGCGAAAGCUGUGCUAAUACCGCAUACGAUCUACGGAUGAAAGCAGGGGACCGCAAGGCCUUGCGCGAAUGGAGCGGCCGAUGGCAGAUUAGGUAGUUGGUGGGGUAAAGGCUCACCAAGCCAACGAUCUGUAGCUGGUCUGAGAGGACGACCAGCCACACUGGGACUGAGACACGGCCCAGACUCCUACGGGAGGCAGCAGUGGGGAAUUUUGGACAAUGGGCGCAAGCCUGAUCCAGCCAUGCCGCGUGCAGGAUGAAGGCCUUUGGGUUGUAAACUGCUUUUGUACGGAACGAAAAGUCUCUUUCUAAUAAAGAGGGAUCAUGACGGUACCGUAAGAAUAAGCACCGGCUAACUACGUGCC